UACAGAGGGUGCGAGCGUUGUCCGGAAUCACUGGGCGUAAAGGGCGCGUAGGCGGCCGGGUAAGUAGGGGGUGAAAUCCCACAGCUCAACUGUGGGGCUGCCUUCUAGACUGCUUGGCUCGAGCACGGUAGAGGCUGGUGGAAUUCCCGGUGUAGCGGUGGAAUGCGUAGAGAUCGGGAAGAACAUCGGUGGCGAAGGCGGCCAGCUGGGCCGUUGCUGACGCUGAUGCGCGAAAGCGUGGGGAGCAAAC
This 250-nucleotide ribosomal RNA is filed under the name uncultured bacterium. RNAcentral's name for it is "partial 16S ribosomal RNA". It matches the Rfam family "Bacterial small subunit ribosomal RNA", at positions 524 to 773 of the family's 1533-position model. The record is from RNAcentral.